Molecule: RNA transcript, 2963 nt
Organism: Brachypodium distachyon (stiff brome)
Lineage: Eukaryota; Viridiplantae; Streptophyta; Magnoliopsida; Poales; Poaceae
Exons: 2
Source: RefSeq, a predicted model, not a curated record
AAAUUAUGUUGUUCGACAUUGGUUUUAUAUAUGUUAGAGAGUCAUCAAGAAAUUAUGAAUCUUCAGAUGUUAGUUGCCUAAGAGCACCAGGAGUAUUACACAGAGAAUUCACUAAUCAUGAUCUGUUAAGAUUUUGGCAUAAUUUAUUUGAUGCACAGGGUUGAUUGAAAUGGGCACAGUGGGCCAUUCUUUUUUGCUGAGCAAUAAGCACUCAGAACCUGAAAGAUGCUUCCGAGAAACACAUACAUUAUCCAUUUAGAAACAACCAUGUGAUGCUCCCAGACUGGCACGUUGUUUGAAUCUGACAGGCAAAUAUCAUCCAGUUCCCAUCAUGAAUAAUUGCCUGUCUACUGUAAUAUCAUAUAGUUUCUAGUUCCUUGAUAGCAGUUCUGGAUGCUGUUAUUUGAUAUGCAAGAAGUCAGUAUUUCUUGGUAGCCUAUUUGAGUGUAUGAUGCCACCGGGCCACAGGGCCCACAGCCAGCCCCCUACUGUGCAUGAUGCCGUCCCUCCAGACUCCAACCUACUUCGUACACUACAUGCCAAUUGGAUGGACAAAAUCCUCCACCGAACAUCCUGCCAUUAUGUAGGACAAAAAUUGUGACCUAAGAUGGGCACUGCCAAUAAUUGAUGAAGACGAACCAUAUUAUAUUGGCAUAAGUACGCCCCGACUUUUGUACAGAGAACUUCCUUAAGUCUUCGUACACUAUAUAGCAACGACCAUCUUCUCCAGAUCCAGACCCCCGACCCCACAUCUUUCAGAUCGGAGACAUUUUGGGUCUGCGCUCACGGCAAGCUGUCCGGCACUGCAAGCAGGAUCGAUGGCUGGAGGGCGGCUGCAGAUCGAAAAACUCUUGCCAGUGCAGUUUCUGCUGCUCGUUAGCCUUGUGCUUCAAAUCACCCUCUUCCUCUGCGCCGGGGUACGUCGGAUUGAUAACUCCGGCGGCGGGUUGCGGGGGGCACUCCUCUGGCUGGCAUACAAUUCCGCCGAUUCCGUUUCCGCAUUUACCAUGACCCGAUUGUGGUUCAUUAGCAAUAGUAACCACUCACUUGCCACGCUAUGGGCACCAUUCCUCUUGCUGCACCUUGGCGGUCCAGACAACAUUGUAGCCUACGCAUUGCAAGACAAACAACUCUCACUUCGCAGCCUGCCAAUAGUUUUGACCCGGGUCAUCGUAGGAGCGUAUUUCCUUUACGCGAAUGGAGAUGAUAGCGGGAAUUUCGUUCUGCUUGCCUCCUGUCUGAUGUUUGCUGUGGGUGCUGCUAAGUACGGAGAAAGGUGGUGGGCACUGCAGAAAGGCAACCUCGGCAGCAUCCGCGACUCGGUAAAAAAGUACAAAUCUACUCCUAUGCAUCGUCAUGUUCACCCACAAGACAUAGUGUUGAAGAAGGUAAAUGGUUUGGACAGGUUGGACGAGGAAUCCCAUCUGCGACGAGCUCACUCGUUGAUCGACGUUUGCAAGCGUGCGAUAGUUGGUUCUUCAGAAAGGGAAAAAAAAGACCGACACAUGACAAAAAUGAUGUUCUACGUCGAGUAUUGGACACUUGCAGAGAUGCAACUCUCCAUCAUGUAUGAGAUCUUGUACACCAAGGCGGCUGUGAUUCACACGUGGCACGGUUACUCCAUCCGUGUCUUGUCGCCACUCGCCAUUUUAGCAUCACUGCUGCUGUACCAGUCCAGUGGAGAAGCAGACUGACACGGAGGACUAUUUGACACUGCUGUCACAUACGUUUUGUUUGUCGCUGCCUUGUCCAUGGAGUCGAUUUCCCUGCUGAACACGCUGGGGUCCUCAUGGAUGUUUGCAUACCUGACUUCCACAAGAUUCUCAUGGCACUUGCUUCGGAAUCAGGUAGUUUCUCUCAGCCGUCUUGUCACUUGUGGACGAAGCAGGUACCAAGCAAGGAGGUGGUCUGGCAACAUGGGACAGUACAACAUGCUGCACUUUUGCACUCGCCCUGACACUCUCCUCACCGGCCGUCCUCUGCUCGGCACGCUGGCCGGGCUGGUGGGACUCGAAGAGUUCUGGAACAGGAAGCAUUUCUCCGGGACCGUUAAUUUAUCGGACCAUGUCUCCAUCAAAGUGUGUAUCGGUCAACACGCUCAGCGGCUGAACAUGAAGGCCGGGGGAUUAAACACACUGGGAAUGGUCGUACGUCCCUGGGCCAUGACAGCACUGUCACGUCAUAACCUGGAAGAGAAAUUCAAAGGUAUCCUUGGCGAGGAGUUUCAGGAGGGCGUCAUCAUAUUACACAUCGCCACGGAAUUUUUCCUGGCCGAGUGCGAGAGUGCCAGCCCCGACGGGGAUCAUCUUGUGAAGGAGAUCAAGGCGCUGUCAAAUUACAUGAUGUUCCUUCUUGUAGAACGCCCCUACAUGCUGCCAGGCAUCCACCAAAGCGAGUUGUACGAACGGAUCUGUGACGCUCUCACGAAGGACGUGAGCCAUCGCCCAAGAAGUAUUUGUGCGUUGCUCAGGAGUUCGUUCCACUACCACGAUGACCCAGCUGGCUAUAAUUCCAGGGCCAACGACAGUAAGAUGCUUGCCGAAAAGUUAUACCAUAGGCAUAAGGGUCAAGAGUUCAUCUGUGAGACUGUUCGACUCACCUAUUCAGCUUCAGUUGCCGAACAACUGCUGGUAUAUCAGAAGGACCAUGGUCCUAGUGAGUCGUUGAAACUGUUGCUUGAAGUGUGGGCGGACAUGCUCGUCUAUGCAGGGAACAAAUGCAGCAGGGAGUCACAUGCAAAGAAGCUCAGCAGUGGCAGCGAGUUGACAACCAUCGUGUGGCUUAUGCUGGAACUUUUCUACCAAAUUGACUACCACGUCCACACUGAUGAUAAUUAUGGAGUAUAGAGCCAAAUCCUUGUUUCAGUCACUUCUAGCCAUAUUUGAUUGUACCUAAUGUCCUUGAUUCUAUGUUGUUACGCUUUUUUAAUACGGUUUUCAUAUUAAGAAGUUGUUUGUUUUUUA